This 313-nucleotide ribosomal RNA is filed under the name uncultured bacterium. RNAcentral's name for it is "bacterial SSU rRNA". It matches the Rfam family "Bacterial small subunit ribosomal RNA", at positions 28 to 334 of the family's 1533-position model. The record is from RNAcentral.
GAUGAACGCUGGCGGCGUGCCUAACACAUGCAAGUCGAACGGGGAUAGGAUGAAACCUAGUGAUUCCUAUUCUAGUGGCGGACGGGUGAGUAACGCGUGGAUAACCUGCCUUGUACAGGGGGAUAACACCUGGAAACAGGUGCUAAGACCGCAUAAGCGCACAGUCUCGCAUGGGACAGUGUGAAAAACUCCGGUGGUACAAGAUGGAUCCGCGUCUGAUUAGCCAGUUGGCGGGGUAACGGCCCACCAAAGCGACGAUCAGUAGCCGGCCUGAGAGGGUGAACGGCCACAUUGGGACUGAGACACGGUCCAG